RNAcentral lists this ribosomal RNA (404 nucleotides) under uncultured bacterium. RNAcentral's name for it is "partial 16S ribosomal RNA". It matches the Rfam family "Bacterial small subunit ribosomal RNA", at positions 30 to 526 of the family's 1533-position model. The record is from RNAcentral.
AUUGAACGCUGGCGGCAGGCCUAACACAUGCAAGUCGAGCGAGCGGCGGAAGGGUGAGUAAUGACUGGGAAUUGCUCAGACGAGGGGGAUAACAGUUGGAAACGACUGCUAAUACCUCAUACGACUGGAUUGAUCAGGUGGGAGUAGCUAGUUGGUGGGGUAAUGGCUCACCAAGGCGACGCUCCCUAGCUGGUCUGAGAGUAUGGGCCGCCACACUGGAACUGAGACAAGGUCCAGACUCCUACGGGAGGCAGCAGUGGGGAAUAUUGCGCAAUGGGGGAAACCCUGAUACAGCCAUGCCGCGUGUGUGAAGAAGGCCUUCGGGUUGUAAAGCACUUUCAGCGAGGAGGCGUUACUCGCAGAAGAAGCACCGGCUAACUCCGUGCCAGCAGCCGCGGUAAUUC